AUUGAACGCUGGCGGCAGGCCUAACACAUGCAAGUCGAGCGAGCGGCGGACGGGUGAGUAAUGUAUGGGGACUGCCCGAUAGAGGGGGAUAACUACUGGAAACGGUGGCUAAUACCGCAUACUAUCGGAUAACCCAUAUGGGAGUAGCUAUUAGGUGGGGUAAAGGCUCACCUAGGCGACGAUCUCUAGCUGGUCUGGGAGGAUGAUCAGCACAAUUGGAACUGAGACACGGCCCAGAUGCCUACGGAUGCAGCAGUGGGGAAUAUUGACCAAUGGGAGCAAGCCUGAUGCAGCCAUGCCGCGUGUAUGAAGAAGGCCUUAGGGUUGUAAAGUACUUUCAGCGGGGAGGCGUUACCCGCAGAAGAAGCACCGGCUAACUCCGGGCCAGCAGCCGCGGUAAUAC
This 403-nucleotide ribosomal RNA is filed under the name uncultured bacterium. RNAcentral's name for it is "partial 16S ribosomal RNA". It matches the Rfam family "Bacterial small subunit ribosomal RNA", at positions 30 to 526 of the family's 1533-position model. The record is from RNAcentral.